AGGACGAACGCUGGCGGCGUGCUUAACACAUGCAAGUCGAACGGUAAGGCCCUUCGGGGUACACGAGUGGCGAACGGGUGAGUAACACGUGGGUGACCUGCCUCGAGCUCUGGGAUAAGCCUGGGAAACUGGGUCUAAUACCGGAUAUGACCUCAUGUCGCAUGGUGUGGGGUGGAAAGUUUUUCGGCUCGAGAUGGGCCCGCGGCCUAUCAGCUUGUUGGUGGGGUGAUGGCCUACCAAGGCGACG
RNAcentral lists this ribosomal RNA (247 nucleotides) under uncultured soil bacterium. Its description in RNAcentral is "partial 16S ribosomal RNA". It matches the Rfam family "Bacterial small subunit ribosomal RNA", at positions 26 to 278 of the family's 1533-position model. The record is from RNAcentral.